UCAGAGUUUGAUCUGCUCAGGAUGAACGCUAGCUACAGGCUUAACACAUGCAAGUCGAGGGGCAGCAUGUUGGUUGCUUGCAACCAACGAUGGCGACCGGCGCACGGGUGAGUAACGCGUAUCCAACCUACCCUUGUCCAUCGGAUAACCCGUCGAAAGGCGGCCUAACACGAUAUGCGGUUCACAGCAGGCAUCUAACGUGAACGAAAUGUAAAAGGAGAAGGAUGGGGAUGCGUCUGAUUAGCUUGUUGGCGGGUAACGCCACAAGGCUACGAUCAGUAGGGGUUCUGAGAGGAAGGUCCCCCANAUUGGAACUGAGACACGGUCCAAACUCCUACGGGAGCA
RNAcentral lists this ribosomal RNA (345 nucleotides) under uncultured bacterium. RNAcentral describes it as "bacterial SSU rRNA". It matches the Rfam family "Bacterial small subunit ribosomal RNA", at positions 1 to 349 of the family's 1533-position model. The record is from RNAcentral.